Molecule: long non-coding RNA, 2643 nt
Organism: Gallus gallus (chicken)
Lineage: Eukaryota; Metazoa; Chordata; Aves; Galliformes; Phasianidae
Source: Ensembl
GGAGGGGAUGUCUGUUAAAUGGGCUCAGCACAUGCUGUUCUGGCUGCUUCCGCUGAACUCUGCUGCUGGCGAGGUUGGAUGGGACCCUGUGCAACCUGAUGUGGUGUCUGACAGCCCUGCCUGCAGCAGGAGGUUGGAGCUCAAUGAUCUUCAAGGUCCCUUCCAACCCAAGCCAUUCUACGACUCCCAACCAAACCAUUCUACGACUACGAUUCCAACCGCUCCUAAUUUUGCAGCUCCGUUCAAGCCCCGCUCUGCCAUCACUCUAACAGGAGCCGUCACCUAUCUUUAAACCUUCUCUCACCCUUCUCUGCAUCUUCCCCCAGAUCCUCAAUGGGCGGUGAUAAGAGCGGACUGAAAGACCACUCGUGCGUUAUCGGCACUUUGGAAAACCCCGGGCAGCUCACGUGGCUGCCGGCUGACGCUUCAGUGCCUCUCUGAUCCCUUACGUAACCAGUGGCACUGUUUGUUUUUCCUUGCUGACUUUUUUUGUGUGUGUGUGUGUGUGACUCCCACGUUCACUGCUCUUAAAGCCGCUUAUAAUCACUCUAAAGCCCCAGCUUAGCCAGGCACCGCUCUGGGUCCUGAGCGGCUUGCUGAGCUGCCUCCUUCGUUCCCUUGCAUGAAGGUUUCUUUCCCUUUUGCUGGUUCCAGGUUCAACAUUUUUAUGGCUUCUCCCCUGCACAGCAGUUCUGAUUUGGGAUCCGCUGCUCAUGGGAUGGCCCAAAGCCUCUUGAGUGGGUUGGCCAACGUCUUGCUCAUCUCCUGGUGGGGCGAUUGACUUAUUACGUGGUCUGACAGUGAUAGGACAAAGGGAAAUGGCUCUAAGCUAAAAGAGAGGAGAUUUAGAUUAGACGCUAUGAAGAAAUUCUUUACUCAGAGGGCGGUGAGGCCCUGGCACUGCUGAUCAGAUAGCUGUGGGUGCCCCAUCCCUGGAGGUGCUCAAGGUCUCGUUAGAUAGGGCCCUGGGCAGCCUGAGCUGGUGGGAGACAACCAGCCCACCCAUCUUCAUAGUGUUAUUUUGAUAAGGAAUAGCCUAUGCUGUUCUUGUUUUGUACAGUGUUGUUCUCUAAAACCUCCGUUGCAUUCUGUAUGUACGUACACAUUCAACAGAUGCACACAUCUGCCAUCAGAUUUCCUGCUGAAAUACCCCCAGCUAAAAUCCCAGCUAUUUCUCAGUCUGAUUUCACUCUUGCUAAGCCAGAUUAGGAGUUUUUGGGUCUUGCUGAAACUUCUGCGCUUCGCAGGAUGAAUUCUUAUCCCUGGCAGAAGGCUGCCCUGCUCUCUGUGUUGAUUCUGGCGUCUGCACUGGAAAGCAAACAAAGUAACUCAAGUUGGGUAUUAGGAAAAUGUCUUCCAUGGAAGAGUGAUCAGGCAUUGGAACAGCCUGCCCAGGGCAGCGGUGGAGUCACUGUCCAUGGAGGUUUUCUAGGAAAGGGUAGAUGGAACUUAGGGACAUGGUUGGUGGGUAUGGUGGUGGUUGGUUGACGGUUGGACUUGAUGAUCUUCGUGGCCUUUUCCAGCCUCAGUGAUUCUAUGAACUUCCAUCAGCCCCGAGGCAAAAGUAGUGCCUGGGUUUUGCGUUCCCUCCAGAAGAGCCCAACCUCUUUGUUUCAGGGAAAACACAUCUGGGAUCCAACAGCAGCCAUUGUUCUCCGGUGAGUAAGGACCAACACGGUUAAUGGCAGCUGAGGUGUUCUCGCAGUGCCCUGCUGCUCCUAAACAUCUCCAGCAGCACUGAUUGGAGGAGCCAUCCAAAAUUUAAUUGUUUUCUCAUUGAUUGGUGGUAAGGACAGGCUGGUAAGCCUCUGUGCAGCCUCCAGGUGGAUCAGGUUGAUGCCCACAUCUGGAAACACUGUGCCACAAGCUACCCAAGUCUUUCCCUAUAUAGUUCAACAAAGCACGAGGUGAAACAAGGGAAGCUUUUUUUCCCCAGACCACUCUCACAGUGGUGGCUCCACGGGCUCAUCUUGGAGGUCAGCUUUCCCCUUUGUGAUGCUAAACAACUAGGAAGGAAUAAUCAAAUUACAUCCGCACAAUUACGUGAAUGAGGGCAUCAAGCAUCCCAUAGAGAGUUGUCCCUUGCUGCUUUGCAAAGGCCAUCACGUUCAUUCGGGCUGGCAAAUCUCCUCUCUGGGUUUCAGACAAAGCCGUAUGAGGACUGGUGAUGCACUGGCACAGGUUGCCCAGAGGGGUGGUGGUGCCCCAUCCGUGGAGACCUUCAGGUCAGGCUGGAAGGGGCUCUGAGCACUGAUGGAGCUGUGGGUGUCCCUGUGCAUUGCAGGGAGUGGGACCAGAUGGCCUUUAAGGGUCCCUUCCAACUCAUCAAUUAUAUGAUUCUAUGACUUUUGGGACAUGAGAUGGGGUGCUCCUUCCCAUGCUAUCCUGAGGAGCACAUCUCCCCAGUACCACUGCAGCUGAACACGCAUAGAGCAACAAGAAGGAAACAGAUGCUUCCCUGCUGGAUGAAUCAGCAGCACAUCUGGGCUCUGAUGAGGCUGCACUGUAAGAUUUUCCCCUCUAUCCCAUGCCGGUGGGAAGGCAGUGGGCCAGCCUUGCUGCUUGGCUGGGGAGCAGGAGGGAGAGGAAGCAGGGUUGGCUCUCCUUGCAGGGGAAAUAUUAAAUGCUGCCAUUGAAAACUAG